RNAcentral lists this long non-coding RNA (857 nucleotides) under Zostera marina. Its description in RNAcentral is "long non-coding RNA (ZMAR_LNC001662)". Lineage: Eukaryota; Viridiplantae; Streptophyta; Magnoliopsida; Alismatales; Zosteraceae. The record is from RNAcentral.
CCGUAUAUCUUCCAAAUAUCCCAAGGAUCUCCCAAAAAGAUCCGACGGUUACACUAGGAGUCGCCGACUCACAGAGGGAGUCGCCGACUCGCAGGGGUAAAAAACAAAAAUACCCCUACAGUUACCCAAACCAUAGGUAUCGCCGACUGUAAGAGUAUCACAAACUCUAGUCGCCGAUUCCGGGUAAAAUAACACUAAAACUGCCCCAAGUGCAAGUUUUCAGGGGGAGUAUCACAAACUCUCCCGACACUUCUGUCACUUCGACCAGAAGUUGUCAAAUUUCAAGGGGGGAGUAUCACAAACUCUCCCGGCACUUCUGUCGUUUCGGCCAGAAGUCAUCAUAUUUCAGGAGGGAGUAUCGCAAGCUGUCUCCAUCGUUAAGGUUCUGAAUUUCAAGGCAACCUUUGAGUGUCGAAUAUCUCUGAUUCGUCGUUUACUCUAUCUCUAGUAACCCGACGCUAUUCUAGAGGUAUAAAUUGUCCAUAAAUUUAACCGUAGGCUGAGCUACGAUUCGUACGACCAAGUCUACGACCAGAGUGGCUAGCAAUAGGGUUAGCAGAGUCUAAUUUACGUCCAGAGUGGCUAAAUUACGACUUGUGAAUCUAGUUUCGGGCCUUAGUUACAAUUUGAAGGGUAAUUUAUAUGAAAGAUUAGCAAAGGAAAAACAAUAGAUAGUUUACCGACAGUCACAUACUUCGAAAAACACUCGUCGCAAAUGUUUGUGUGUCACAAGGGCACAAUUCGCGAGGGGGAGUGUCACAAGCUCUCCCGACACUUCUGUCUAUAGGAUGGAAGUCGUCACAUUUCAGGGGGGAGUAUCACAAGCUCUCCCGACACUUCUGUCUAUAGGAUGGAAG